This 263-nucleotide unclassified non-coding RNA is filed under the name Hevea brasiliensis (rubber tree). The record is from RNAcentral. Lineage: Eukaryota; Viridiplantae; Streptophyta; Magnoliopsida; Malpighiales; Euphorbiaceae.
GGUAAACGAGGGAGAGGGAGAUGAACUUUGAAGCAUUGAAAUGGCGCUCUUAGCCACCAAACAUAGGAUUACAAUUUUAUUUGGGUCACCAUAGUCGUGAGUGAAACUUAUUUAGCUUUGUUUGAAGCUAGAAAAGAAAAAUAUAUGCAAGACAUCGAGGAUAACUGCAAGACCAGAAGAAUGGCUGCUUGAGGUCCUUAUCUCAGUAGUGUGACAGACUAAACCACAAACCUUGAAUCAAGAAGCCAUCACAAUGAUUUUGG